GACGAACGCUGGCGGCGUGCUUAACACAUGCAAGUCGAGCGGUAAGGCCCUUUCGGGGGUACGACGAGCGGCGAACGGGUGAGUAACACGUGGGUGACCUGCCCUCAGCUCUGGGAGUAAGCCCGGGAAACCGUAGGGUCGUAAUACCGGAUAUGACUCCAUGACGCAUGUUGUGGGGUGGAAAGCCUUGUGCGGCUGAGGAUGGGCCCGCGGCCUAUCAGCUUGUUGGUGGGGUGAUGGCCUACCAAGGCGACGACGGGUAGCCGGCCUGAGAGGGCGACCGGCCACACUGGGACUGAGACACGGCCCAGACUCCUACGGGAGGCAGCAGUGGGGAAUCUUGCGCAAUGGGCGAAAGCCUGACGCAGCGACGCCGCGUGAGGGAUGACGGCC
Molecule: ribosomal RNA, 393 nt
Filed under: uncultured bacterium
Lineage: Bacteria
Description: bacterial SSU rRNA
Rfam family: Bacterial small subunit ribosomal RNA
Source: RNAcentral